AUUCCAUAAUGGGGAUAUUCUAGGAUGUAGUCUUGGAAGCGCUCCCAUGCUUCUGGAACAGAUUCAUCAUGUUGUUGCUGAAAACUUGUAAUCUUCCCACGGAGAGC
This 107-nucleotide small nucleolar RNA is filed under the name Sorghum bicolor (sorghum). RNAcentral's name for it is "Plant small nucleolar RNA R71". It matches the Rfam family "Plant small nucleolar RNA R71". From Rfam's summary of the family: R71 is a member of the C/D box family of snoRNAs containing the C (UGAUGA) and D (CUGA) box motifs. Multiple nearly identical copies of this snoRNA have been identified in Arabidopsis, and it is thought to function as a 2'-O-ribose methylation guide for 18S ribosomal RNA. The record is from Rfam by way of RNAcentral. Lineage: Eukaryota; Viridiplantae; Streptophyta; Magnoliopsida; Poales; Poaceae.